CCACUAAAGUUGGCCACUUUCUAAAAAUGGCAAAAGUUUACUUUAAUUAAGUCAACAAUUACUCACUAAUUUGGUCAACAAUUGUAGGCCACUUUCUAAAAAUGUCAAAAUUACUUUAAUUAAGUCAACAAUUACUCACUAAUUUGGUCAACAAUUGUAGGCCACACUUUAUUAAAACAUAUAACACUCAAUUUCUUAAUCUCCG
Molecule: long non-coding RNA, 205 nt
Filed under: Salvia miltiorrhiza (redroot sage)
Lineage: Eukaryota; Viridiplantae; Streptophyta; Magnoliopsida; Lamiales; Lamiaceae
Description: long non-coding RNA (SMIL_LNC010171)
Source: RNAcentral